RNAcentral lists this long non-coding RNA (854 nucleotides) under Mus caroli (Ryukyu mouse). Its description in RNAcentral is "lncRNA (MGP_CAROLIEiJ_G0003039.1)". Lineage: Eukaryota; Metazoa; Chordata; Mammalia; Rodentia; Muridae. The record is from RNAcentral.
ACUAACUUCAGUAAAGCUGCUGUGUAAAUGGCAUUUAAAAUCACUGUUAUCACCACUGACAGAGAUGACGUCAGCUCUUUGCCACCUGAGUAAAUAAAUAUUUAUAAGGUGCUGUAAGUCUGAAGAAUGUCACACUGCUCCAAUAGACUUCAUUUUCAGGCAAGAGUGAAAUAGGCAACCACAAGAACCCCGUCACCACAUUUGAUGGGUUGUCCAUUCUCUUCUCUAAUACAGGCUUUAGUUCACUAUCAUCAUGGCAGCACGCAUGGUGCUGGAGCAGUAGCUGAGAGUUAUAUCCUCAUCCACGGGACCAGAGGGACACUAGUCCUGGAAUGGAAUUUGGAAGCCUCAAAGUCUACCCCAGCAUGGCCACGCCUCCUAAUCCUUCUAAUCCUAUCAAAGACUUCCACUACCUGGAUAUUUUUGACCCUAGAUACUUUUUCCUUUAAAUUUGAUGGAGCUGUGAUCAUGCCUCUGACCUCUAGCCUUGAAAGAAGACGAGUUAUGCCUCUCAGGAGUGAUGCCUCAGGCACUUUGCAAGUCGGCUGGCAGGAUUAUUUCCCAGGCUGUGAAGUGAUGACCUUCCACCGAGAGUGAAUGUCUGCAGCGCACGUAGUAAAUUCUACCAGCCAUGAUUGAGAGCCUUAGCUUUGUUACCUGCUCUAUGAAUCAGAGGCCAUUCUUUCUCUCUACAGCGGAUUGGUAAUUUAGUGCUGUAUUUAAAGCCACGUGUUACCACAUGUGCACACGUGGGUUAAUUUACUGUUGCCCAUGAUUACAUUCUGCUUUUGUGCCUGACAUAAGGUCACUUCAGAGGUAAAUCUAGAAUUUUGGAAUAAAUGGGUGGAAUGAAG